Molecule: Y RNA, 102 nt
Filed under: Cercocebus atys (sooty mangabey)
Lineage: Eukaryota; Metazoa; Chordata; Mammalia; Primates; Cercopithecidae
Description: Y RNA (ENSCATG00000008866.1)
Rfam family: Y RNA
About the family: Y RNAs are components of the Ro ribonucleoprotein particle (Ro RNP), in association with Ro60 and La proteins. The Y RNAs and Ro60 and La proteins are well conserved, but the function of the Ro RNP is not known.
Source: RNAcentral
ACCUGGUCCGAAGAUCGUGAGUUAUCACAAUUGAUUGUUCAGUUAUAGAUAGAACUCAUUGUUCUACUCUUUCCCUUCUCACUACUGCACUUGACUAGUCAU